GCUCGGCUGAACUGCCAGCUUCACGCCACAUGGCCUUGUUCUUGGAGCCUCUGUCCUUGCUCAGCAAACUGCUUCUCCACCAGCCUAAUGUUGUCUUCGUCGUGCUGUUCCUGCACAAUGUCGUCACAGAAAGACAGCCGGUGUGCAGUCCUGUGCUAGUGCCACGUGAUAUAAGGAGCAAGGCUCACUUUUGCUGCCCCUGUGUCCACGCCAACUGCCGGGCUCUGGAUUGUUGGAACUAACGAGCACAAUUCUGGAAGUGGUGCUUCCUGGGACUUGACAGUUGGACCACACCAGGACAAGGAAAACAAUGUUGUAAUGUUGUCUGGGAUCUAAGCAGCCUUCGUUGGUUUUGCCACAUUCAAGGCUUUUUAUCAGGGUAGAUUCCAUUGAUUUGCAUUCAAACACUGAACCAGCCUUGCAUUCCCAGGACAGAUCCCACUUGGUUGUGUGGCUGCUGAAGUGAUUACAGCUUAGCCAGCAUUCCACUUGAAGAAACACAAGUGGGCUGUGAAGCAUUCAGCAUGAAUUCGCGUCAUGAAAUGGAAACGAUGCGGUGGGAUGCACGGGGAUGAACCACACGGAUGUAAUAAAACAGAGCAUGUGGCCCAUCCUUUCCACUCAA
Molecule: long non-coding RNA, 625 nt
Organism: Ailuropoda melanoleuca (giant panda)
Lineage: Eukaryota; Metazoa; Chordata; Mammalia; Carnivora; Ursidae
Exons: 3
Source: RefSeq, a predicted model, not a curated record